RNAcentral lists this ribosomal RNA (503 nucleotides) under uncultured bacterium. RNAcentral describes it as "partial 16S ribosomal RNA". It matches the Rfam family "Bacterial small subunit ribosomal RNA", at positions 30 to 523 of the family's 1533-position model. The record is from RNAcentral.
AUUGAACGCUGGCGGCAGGCUUAACACAUGCAAGUCGAGCGGGGUGAUGGUGCUUGCACUAUCACUUAGCGGCGGACGGGUGAGUAAUGCUUAGGAAUCUGCCUAUUAGUGGGGGACAACAUCUCGAAAGGGAUGCUAAUACCGCAUACGUCCUACGGGAGAAAGCAGGGGAUCACUUGUGACCUUGCGCUAAUAGAUGAGCCUAAGUCGGAUUAGCUAGUUGGUGGGGUAAAUGCCUACCAAGGCGACGAUCUGUAGCGGGUCUGAGAGGAUGGUCCGACAGAAUGGGACGGAGAGACGGCCCAGAUUCCUACGGGAGGCAGCAGUGGGGAAUAUUGGACAAUGGGGGGAACCCUGAUCCAGCCAUGCCGCGUGUGUGAAGAAGGCCUUAUGGUUGUAAAGCACUUUAAGCGAGGAGGAGGCUCUUUUGGUUAAUACCCAAGAUGAGUGGACGUUACUCGCAGAAUAAGCACCGGCUAACUCUGUGCCAGCAGCCGCCGUAA